RNAcentral lists this non-coding RNA (145 nucleotides) under Ardenticatena maritima. Lineage: Bacteria; Bacillati; Chloroflexota; Ardenticatenia; Ardenticatenales; Ardenticatenaceae. The record is from RNAcentral.
CACACACCGCCCGGUACAGGUGCGCCAGUCGCCCGGAUGCGCGGCGCACAAUGGAGGAAGACCGGUGAAAGUCCGGCGCUGUCCCGCAACGGUAACACGCCCGCGAGCGUGAAGCCCGAUACUCCGCCUGUACCGUGCUCGUGUA